This 277-nucleotide unclassified non-coding RNA is filed under the name uncultured fungus. RNAcentral describes it as "partial contains 5.8S ribosomal RNA, internal transcribed spacer 2, and large subunit ribosomal RNA". The stretch from base 1 to 52 matches the Rfam family "5.8S ribosomal RNA", at positions 103 to 154 of the family's 154-position model. The record is from RNAcentral. Lineage: Eukaryota; Fungi.
AACGCACCUUGCGCUCCGUGGUAUUCCGCGGAGCAUGCCUGUUUGAGUGUCGCGCCCCCCUCUCAACCCCGUUGGCGUUAUGCGCUCGACGCGGGCUUGGAUCCUGGCCGGUUCGCCUGUAAGGCGACGGCCGAAAGACCUUGCGCCUCUGGCGGCACGCGGUCUGACCGGAACGUUGUACGCACCUCGUUCUCGGGACGCGUGCCCUGUUGGGCUGCGAAUCGCGCACUCUAGUGACCUCGACCUCAAAUCAGGCAGGACGACCCGCUGAACUUAA